GAGAGAGAGAGAGAGAUUAAAAAAAAGGUGUAUGUUUAGAAAUAAGUACAUUAUGGCUAAACAAAAGGUUGAAAUAUUAUAAUAUAUAAUUUUAUAUCCUUUUCAAAUUGAAAAAAAAGAUUGCUGACUUAAGUUACUCGGACACAGAAAAUUAUCGGUGCUUUCAACGUUAAUGUUUUCACAGACGUGAUGUUGUAACUGACAAUCCGAUUAAAAUGUCGGGAGCUUGCCUUAACGUCUUAUUUUCUGUUAUCGGAAAAAACCCUUUUGAUAGAACACCUUUUGAUUUGUUAAUUAAUCUACAACUAAACUUUAAACCAAUUAAAAAUGAGAAAAGAAAACAUUUAAUAUAAUGUUUUCAAAUAUAUGUGGAUGUGCUGUACAUGUAGUAAAUGACAACCACAUAUUUCCGGUGACUCGAGUGAUUUGUACUUCAGCUAUUUAUGUAGCAAUAAAUAACCAAAAAAUCACUCUUAUAUGAUAAAUUAUAGAUAAAUACAUGUACAAAAUUUUGAUAAAUUAAAUGCAAGCAUUGAACAAAAAAAAGUACACGCAAUCCAUAAAAUAACUUUCAACUUUAUUUCCCGCAUAGCUGGUAAUGUCGUCGUGAUUUCACAUGAACAAAAAUCACACGUGCGAUACAUGUUUAAGUGUACAGAAGCUGAUCAGAAACACAACAGCGUCUUUCAUCUUGGGUUCUAUACACAACAGGUGUUAUUGUCUUAUUUUGUUUUUUGGCAAUUAUUGUACUUUACAACUAAAUCUGUAUAUUUGGAUGCUUUAUUAACAGGUGUACACGAGAUGCCAGUAUUCACUCCUUUCCACGGACACCUGUUAGGAGGAUUUUCAUUUGUUUGCUGCCUUUGUCUUGGGAGGUGGAGGCACCAGGGCAAUGAGGUCAUUUUGUCCCUUUAUGAUGCUGACAGAGAGUCCCUAACCAUCUGAUCCAUCAUGAUAGGCAUUUUUCUUUAUGAUGCAGUACUUGCUGAGAGAGAGAGAGAGAGUCUCAUACUCGGAUGAGCACAGCGUAGAUAUAAAUCAAAAUCCCGGACUUGUGUUUCAUACACAAUGAUGUAUAAGUGGCUCAUCUUACAUCAAAUGGAAUGGAUCCAUGCCAGGAUUCACUUUUCCUUCCCAUGCUGGUUCCAGUCCAGUAAACUGUCACAGUCUGGGAAAUUCUGUCACUGGUGAUGCCGCAGAAAGAAAACACUAUGGGUAUGUAAUAUGAUCUUUAUUAGCAAUUACCGCCACAUAUAGAAUAGUAAACGAAUAGUACAAUUCACAGAGCAAUAAAGCAUGUCUUGUGUCUUCCAAGACAGGCAAAGGAAGGGCAAUGUAUAUGUCAUCUUGCGUGUAAGCAAGUUCAGGCGGUAACCAGGCAAUUUGUACCAACUAUCACCAGGACCACCACACUCCUCCCCAUUUUAAAAGAGGGCAUCCCAGCCCGAACAAUAGGGCAAACUAUAAUAAACAUACAAUAUCUAAAUCCUAAUAGCUUAGGACCUAAAACAUACAAAAUAAAACAUUUUACAUGUUUUUUUUUGGUCUUUAAAAAAUACUAACACAGAUUUCACAGUCAACAUCACAGUCCACAAACUUCACAGUCAGAUUCUAGCAUCUAAUUUGUCUUGGUCCAACCUCCUGCUUUUCCUGGCCCCUCCGACUUGUCUAGUUCCACCAUUUUCCCCAACACAUCAGGUAGUCCACAUAGUAUUCCCUUAGCACGAAGUCCAAAGAUGACAUCUACAACGAAGUCCAACGAUGACAUCCACCAAGAGAUUCAACGAUGACAUUAACUAUGAGGUACAAUUUUUAACGAUGACAUCCACCACUCUGUAUGACAUACAUCACUCCGUAUCUAGACACCAGACAUUUUUCCAAGAUGAAGGCACUUUGCAAAUUUUUGACAUAGUGUCCAAGACUCCGGCACUGCAAGUAAGGUAGGGACUACAAUGUACCAGAGUAGCAACAAGUAAGAUCCAUGUUCCUUAACAUUUUUAACCAGCUAAUGGGUACAUGGACUCCUUGUACAUCUUGGUACACUGGAUAUCUAAACACUCAUCUGCAAAUGCAGCCCAAGGUACAUACAAGCAUCUGGUACACUCUACCAAUGCUAAGACAAACAAAACAGUACACAGUACCCUGCAUCACCGUGGAGUACCUUUCCACAUCAUAAAACAUAACACUCAACUUGAGAAACCUACUAUCUCACGGACCAGGUAAAAACUCAGGGCAAACAAAUAUUUAAGCUUUGUCCUGGCCUUGUCAUCAGAAAUUCAAACAAACCUGGAAUGAGACCAGUCCUUGCCCUCUUCACACAAUAACAUCAAACUUUGGGAUUACCCUGAUUACACAAACAGUAAGUUUUCCUUUUCUGAUACUUAAACUUGUUAGUGCCCUUGCUAUCUUGCAACUUCACAGACUCACUGGUAACUGCUUGGUGAUUUCUAGCUCUACUCCUUGUCCCAAUGUAAGGCCCUCAGUCAAUAGUUUGACUUGAAGUAGUCUGUGAGACUGCAGUGUAUUCUGCCUUUUUCAAAACAGACUUCAAUGUCUUGACACUUUUCGGCACUGGUACAUGUGUGUUAUGCUCUGACUCACUGCUUGACUCUUCAUCAAUGACCUGCUUCUGAUAGUUAUAGAGCCACUGAGGUAUUUCUGUAGCAUCGCAUUUCUCAAUUUAUCAUGAUGCAUGGUCCGAACUUCUCUGCAUUACUUUACUAUGAACACAGUAUCUGACUUGGCCUUUACAAUUAUACCUGGACCCUUCCAGAUA
Long non-coding RNA from Magallana angulata, 2776 nucleotides. RefSeq lists it as uncharacterized. NCBI's taxonomy places the organism in Eukaryota, Metazoa, Mollusca, Bivalvia, Ostreida, Ostreidae. The record is from RefSeq and is a predicted model, not a curated record. The transcript has 5 exons.